AAACCGAAAGGUGAGGUAUAUGGGCUGACGCCUGCCCGGUGCUGGAAGGUUAAGAGGAGAGGUUAGCGCAAGCGAAGCUUUGAAUUUAAGCCCCAGUAAACGGCGGCCGUAACUAUAACGGUCCUAAGGUAGCGAAAUUCCUUGUCGGGUAAGUUCCGACCCGCACGAAAGGCGUAAUGAUUUGAGCACUGUCUCGACAAUGCAUCCGGUGAAAUUGAAGUACCAGUGAAGAUGCUGGUUACCUGCGCCAGGACGGAAAGACCCCAUGGAGCUUUACUCCAGCUUGAUACUGGGAUUCGAUACUGUAUGUACAGGAUAGGUGGGAGACGUUGAACAUAGAACGCCAGUUUUAUGUGAGUCGCUGUUGGGAUACCACCCUUGCAGUAUUGGAUUUCUAACCUGCACCCAUGACCUGGGUGGGGGACAAUGUCUGGCGGGGAGUUUGACUGGGGCGGUCGCCUCCGAAAGGGUAUCGGAGGCGCUCAAAGGUUCCCUCAGAAUGGUCGGAAACCAUUCGAAGAGUGCAAAGGCAGAAGGGAGCUUGACUGCGACACCGACGGGUGGAGCAGGUACGAAAGUAGGGCUUAGUGAUCCGGUGGUAUUAAGUGGGAAUGCCAUCGCUCAACGGAUAAAAGCUACCCUGGGGAUAACAGGCUUAUCACUCCCAAGAGUUCACAUCGACGGAGUGGUUUGGCACCUCGAUGUCGGCUCAUCGCAUCCUGGGGCUGUAGCAGGUCCCAAGGGUUGGGCUGUUCGCCCAUUAAAGCGGUACGCGAGCUGGGUUCAGAACGUCGUGAGACAGUUCGGUCCCUAUCCGGCGUGGGCGUAGGAUAUCUGAGAGGAGCUGUCCUUAGUACGAGAGGACCGGGAUGGACGGACCGCUGGUGGACCGGUUGGCUUGCCAAAGCCAUGGCCGGGUAGCCAAGUCCGGAAGGGAUAAACGCUGAAGGCAUCUAAGCGUGAAGCCCCCCUCAAGAUGAGAUAUCCCUCAGAAAUGAGUAAGACCCCUUGAAGACUACGAGGUAGAUAGGAAUGAGGUGUAAGCACAGCAAUGUGUUCAGCUGACAUUUACUAAUCGGUCGAGGGCUUGACCAA
RNAcentral lists this ribosomal RNA (1095 nucleotides) under human gut metagenome. Its description in RNAcentral is "bacterial LSU rRNA". It matches the Rfam family "Bacterial large subunit ribosomal RNA", at positions 1828 to 2925 of the family's 2925-position model. The record is from RNAcentral.